AACAAACGCUGGCGGCGUGCCUAAUACAUGCAAGUCGAACGGGGAAAGCUUUCGGGUGAGUACUAGUGGCGCACGGGUGAGGAACGCGUGGAUAAUCUGCCUUAGAGUGGGGGAUAACUAGUCGAAAGAUUAGCUAAUACCGCAUAAGACCACGAGAGCUGCGGCUUUUGAGGUCAAAGGUUUUUCGCUCUAAGAUGAGUCCGCGUAAGAUUAGCUAGUUGGUGAGGUAACGGCCCACCAAGGCGACGAUCUUUAACUGGUCUGAGAGGAUGAUCAGUCACACUGGAACUGAGACACGGUCCAGACUCCUACGGGAGGCAGCAGUAGGGAAUAUUGCACAAUGGAGGAAACUCUGAUGCAGCGACGCCGCGUGAGUGAUGAAGGCCUUCGGGUCGUAAAGCUCUGUCGCAGGGGAAUAACACAAUGAAGGUACCCUGUAAGAAAGAAUCGGCUAACUUCGUG
RNAcentral lists this ribosomal RNA (462 nucleotides) under uncultured bacterium. RNAcentral's name for it is "partial 16S ribosomal RNA". It matches the Rfam family "Bacterial small subunit ribosomal RNA", at positions 29 to 507 of the family's 1533-position model. The record is from RNAcentral.